AUGGCCACCGGGCGGAAUAGCACCAUCCAGGGGCUGAGCCGCGUGUGGGGGCGCGGCAGAUGUCGGGGAGGAGCCGCCAAUGUCGCCGGAGCCGAGAGGAGGUUGCUUGGUCUGGGGGAGAAGGGGCGGCAGUGGGUGGAUGGAUCUAAACGGAGGAGGAGAAGAGGAGGUGGUGGCGGCGAUGGAUCCGAUGGGAGGAGGAGACGGGGGAGAAGGGGUGGCAGCGGGUGGAUUGAUCUGUAG
This 243-nucleotide ribosomal RNA is filed under the name Triticum aestivum (bread wheat). RNAcentral's name for it is "partial small subunit ribosomal RNA". Lineage: Eukaryota; Viridiplantae; Streptophyta; Magnoliopsida; Poales; Poaceae. The record is from RNAcentral.